CCUACGGGAGGCAGCAGUGGGGAAUUUUGGACAAUGGGCGCAAGCCUGAUCCAGCAAUGCCGCGUGAGUGAAGAAGGCCUUCGGGUUGUAAAGCUCUUUUGUCAGGGAAGAAACGGUGGAGGUUAAUACCUUCUGCUAAUGACGGUACCUGAAGAAUAAGCACCGGCUAACUACGUGCCAGCAGCCGCGGUAAUACGUAGGGUGCAAGCGUUAAUCGGAAUUACUGGGCGUAAAGCGUGCGCAGGCGGUUGUGCAAGACAGAUGUGAAAUCCCCGGGCUCAACCUGGGAAUUGCAUUUGUGACUGUACGGCUAGAGUGUGUCAGAGGGGGGUAGAAUUCCACGUGUAGCAGUGAAAUGCGUAGAGAUGUGGAGGAAUACCGAUGGCGAAGGCAGCCCCCUGGGAUAACACUGACGCUCAUGCACGAAAGCGUGGGGAGCAAACAGGAUUAGAUACCCUGGUAGUCCACGCCCUAAACGAUGUCUACUAGUUGUCGGGUCUUUAUUGACUUGGUAACGCAGCUAACGCGUGAAGUAGACCGCCUGGGGAGUACGGUUCGCAAGAUUAAAACUCAAAAUUGAAUUGACGGG
RNAcentral lists this ribosomal RNA (589 nucleotides) under uncultured bacterium. RNAcentral's name for it is "bacterial SSU rRNA". It matches the Rfam family "Bacterial small subunit ribosomal RNA", at positions 338 to 917 of the family's 1533-position model. The record is from RNAcentral.